Molecule: ribosomal RNA, 497 nt
Filed under: uncultured bacterium
Lineage: Bacteria
Description: partial 16S ribosomal RNA
Rfam family: Bacterial small subunit ribosomal RNA
Source: RNAcentral
GAUGAACGCUGGCGGCGUGCCUAAUACAUGCAAGUCGAGCGAACAGACGAGGAGCUUGCUCCUCUGACGUUAGCGGCGGACGGGUGAGUAACACGUGGAUAACCUACCUAUAAGACUGGGAUAACGUCGGGAAACCGGAGCUAAUACCGGAUAAUAUAUUGAACCGCAUGGUUCAAUAGUGAAAGACGGUUUUGCUGUCACUUAUAGAUGGAUCCGCGCCGCAUUAGCUAGUUGGUAAGGUAACGGCUUACCAAGGCGACGAUGCGUAGCCGACCUGAGAGGGUGAUCGGCCACACUGGAACUGAGACACGGUCCAGAGUCCUACGGGAGGCAGCAGUAGGGAAUCUUCCGCAAAGGGCGAAAGCCUGACGGAGCAACGCCGCGUGAGUGAUGAAGGUCUUCGGAUCGUAAAACUCUGUUAUUAGGGAAGAACAAAUGUGUAAGUAACUAUGCACGUCUUGACGGUACCUAAUCAGAAAGCCACGGCUAACUACGUG